CACGUAGGGCGCAAGCGUUGUCCGGAAUUAUUGGGCGUAAAGAGCUCGUAGGCGGUCUGUUGCGUCCGCUGUGAAAACUCGGGGCUUAACCCCGAGCCUGCAGUGGAUACGGGCAGACUAGAGGUAGGUAGGGGAGAAUGGAAUUCCCGGUGUAGCGGUGAAAUGCGCAGAUAUCGGGAGGAACACCGGUGGCGAAGGCGGCAUCCUGGACCGAUACUGACGCUGAGGAGCGAAAGCCAGGGGAGCAAACGGG
RNAcentral lists this ribosomal RNA (253 nucleotides) under uncultured bacterium. RNAcentral describes it as "partial 16S ribosomal RNA". It matches the Rfam family "Bacterial small subunit ribosomal RNA", at positions 524 to 776 of the family's 1533-position model. The record is from RNAcentral.